RNAcentral lists this ribosomal RNA (398 nucleotides) under uncultured bacterium. RNAcentral's name for it is "partial 16S ribosomal RNA". It matches the Rfam family "Bacterial small subunit ribosomal RNA", at positions 359 to 774 of the family's 1533-position model. The record is from RNAcentral.
GAAUCUUGCGCAAUGGGCGAAAGCCUGACGCAGCCAUGCCGCGUGAAUGAUGAAGGUCUUAGGAUUGUAAAAUUCUUUCACCGGGGACGAUAAUGACGGUACCCGGAGAAGAAGCCCCGGCUAACUUCGUGCCAGCAGCCGCGGUAAUACGAAGGGGGCUAGCGGUGCUCGGGAUUAACGGGCGUAAAGGGGGCGUAGGCGGUUCGUUAAGUCAGAGGUGAAAUCCCAGGGCUCAACCCUAGAACUGCCUUUGAUACUGGCGAUCUUGAGGAUGAGAGAGGUAUGUGGAACUCCGAGUGUAGAGGUGAAAUUCGUAGAUAUUCGGAAGAACACCAGUGGCGAAGGCGACAUACUGGCUCAUUACUGACGCUGAGGCGCGAAAGCGUGGGGAGCAAACA